Molecule: long non-coding RNA, 1537 nt
Organism: Homo sapiens (human)
Lineage: Eukaryota; Metazoa; Chordata; Mammalia; Primates; Hominidae
Gene: MSRB3-AS1
Product: MSRB3 antisense RNA 1
Exons: 5
Source: RefSeq, marked validated
GAGCUCAUUGAUCAUCAUAACAGAGUCUAUUGAAAGUCCUCAGCAGGCGGUGUGACGAUGUGACCAGCUCUGGCCAAGGAGCUGUAGGCAGAAGUGUCUUGCAGCAGCUCCUGUAAAUCUUAAAAGACAGCUGGUGCGUGUCUUUUUUCCUUUUUUUUUCCCUUCCCCCUUCCUGCUGCGCUGAAUAUGGAUAUGGUGAGUGAAUCUAGAGCAGCCAUUUGGAGGUAUGAAGAGAUCUUGGAAAUAGAGGCCAUGUGUGUUGAAACAAGACCGAACAACUCCAAGUUCCUGAAGACUUCAUUUCACCAACCCAGAACCUCCUUGAUCAUCACAGUGGUCGAACCAUUUUACAUUUUCACCAGCAAUGAAGGAGGGUUCCUGUUGCUCUACCAUUUGGUACUGUCAGCGUUUUGGAUAUUAGCCGUCCUAAUAGAAAAGAGUGAGUAACUAGUGGCCUUUAGAUGAGCCAACCGCAAGCCUGGACUCAUCUUUGACAUCUCCUGCUUCCCUCCAUAAUGACCGUCGUUGCUCCUCUUGCCCAAGGUGUUUGACUCUUCCUACAGCCUUUGCAUGGAUGAUUGUCUGUCCUCUGUUGGGCCCCUUCUGAAGAGUUGGAGUUGGUUGCAAACUAUAGAAACCAUUUGGGCUGGUUUGAGCAUAAAAGGAAAUUACUGGGAGUUAUUAGGUGCUCGGUGAUUCAUUGGGAGGUCUGGCAAAAAAGAAGCUCAAGGCUAAGCUCAUAGGAACACAGCCCGGCAUCUCACACAGAAGUGGCUUGAUGAGGAUUCUACUGCCUCCACAGCUCCUGCCAUCAUCUUCAUCUGCACCAUAGAUGCUCAGAACCCAGUCUGUGUCUGCAUGUUGCUGACUUCCAAAUGAGAGCUUCAUGAGAGUGUAUUUGGUUGGUAGAACAUAGGUCCCAGACCUUCUCCCUGGGAGCUGGAAGAGAUGCUGGGAAAUUCUGCCCUGGAAAAAUAAAACUCACAAUGUGGGAAACAAAGAAAAUGUACAGCAGGGGUUUAACAGAAUGACAGGUAUCUGCUAAAGAAAAUAUUGAUUUUUUUUAAAAAAAAAAAAGACAAUUUUCCCUUUAGAGCCCCAGAAAGAUUCAGGCCUUAGAGGCACUAAGUACUAUAGAAAAUGAGGCUGAAGCAUGGGGCUGAAACUUGGUUUGGUUGAAGGUCUCUGGAAGGCAGAGCAGUUUAACCUCUAGGUUCCCUCAUCCACCCCCAUACAGCCAGACAAUUAUCCCUCCACCCUUCUGUUCUCCUCCCCUCUUCCCUUAGAAAACUUGAAGUUUAUUCUCUAGAGAAGUUCCAGGCUCAGUGACACCAGGCCAAGGUGCUGGACUGAAAACAAUUAGAUUAAGUUAAAAUCUGCUUGAUAAGUGUACAAGUAAUCUAUUUUCAAAACCUAAGAGAUGUUGUCAGCUAUCUCUAACUAUAUGCCAGCAGUAGGCCUUCUAGGAAACUGUACUAUGAUUCCAGGAAACUCGAUUGUGGGCUGGGGAAGGACAAUAAAGUGGAUUGUAUGAUCA